RNAcentral lists this long non-coding RNA (1017 nucleotides) under Diabrotica virgifera virgifera (western corn rootworm). RNAcentral's name for it is "uncharacterized LOC126892134". Lineage: Eukaryota; Metazoa; Arthropoda; Insecta; Coleoptera; Chrysomelidae. The record is from RNAcentral.
CUUAAUAUUUACUUUAUUAUGAGUAUUUAUUUUUGAUUUGUUCUGAACGAUUACUACUGCAUACAUAUAUUUAUUUCUGGUUAGAACUUUCGUUUUCUUGUUUUCCUUGAGAAAAAUUUCUCACCUGUGUUCGAAAUUUUUCUGAUGAGUGGAGGGAGUGUGUAACAUUCCUGUUUUCUUUGGGAAAAAUUUCUCACGUGUGUUCAAAAUUUUUCUGAUGGGUGAGAGGAGUGUGUAACGUUACAAACGUCACAUCUUUGAUAUUUUAUUUUAAAAUAAUUAUUUUAACUUAUUUCCUUUAAUAUUUCAUUAAUAAUUAUCUUCUUCUAAUUGGUUUACCCAUUUUCCCCUUUAAAAAUCGGUUGGCGCUCUCUUUUAUUACCUUCUUUUAUUAUCUUCUAUUUAAUAUAUCUCUUUCAUUUAAAUCAUCAUACUGAACAUACCUCGUAUAUUCAUACUCUCCAAAUAUCUGUAUUUUCAAUACGGAACAUGCCGCUACUUCAUAGUACUUGGUUGUCAUUUUAAAUGUCGUUUUCAAUGACAGUGUCACUUCAUCGACUUGACCCCCUACUCCCUGACAUACACUGGAAGGGAAAAAUUAAUCCUUAAAAAGGCAUGUAAUUCGAAAAAUAAAUCAUUUCUAUUUCAUCAAAUCAUCUCUUGGGUUUUUUGGAAAGAAACCACUUUUCUCCCUCCGGGAGUUUCAACAACCCUCAAAUCGCCGGCGAUACAACAACGAGGACCAUGUCAUCAGGGCUGCAACCACAUAACCAAGACUGCAACGACCAACAUCCGUAGGCCUGGUGGAAUACAACACCUACAACCCCAGAGCCCGUUGCAGAACCAGCAGCAGUACCAUACGACAUCAAGAAGAUACCAUCAGCUACCAAAAGCCAUAAGUAUAAUCCAGAAUUGUUAGUUUUUGGCAAGAAUUUGAAUACAUUUGUUAAUGCAAUUUACUAAGUCAUUUUAUUUAUUAUAUCUUUAUGAACAAUAAACAUGAUUAGUUAAAAACUA